Molecule: ribosomal RNA, 253 nt
Filed under: uncultured bacterium
Lineage: Bacteria
Description: partial 16S ribosomal RNA
Rfam family: Bacterial small subunit ribosomal RNA
Source: RNAcentral
UACGAAGGGGGCUAGCGUUGUUCGGAAUCACUGGGCGUAAAGCGCACGCAGGCGGCUUGAUAAGUCAGGGGUGAAAUCCCGGGGCUCAACCUCGGAAUUGCCUUUGAUACUGUCUGUCUUGAGUCCGGGAGAGGUGAGUGGAAUUCCUAGUGUAGAGGUGAAAUUCGUAGAUAUUAGGAAGAACACCAGUGGCGAAGGCGGCUCACUGGCCCGGUACUGACGCUGAGGUGCGAAAGCGUGGGGAGCAAACAGG